AAUGAACGUUGGCGGCAUGGAUUAGGCAUGCAAGUCGCGCGAUAACUGAGAAAGCUUGCUUUCGAGGGGACAGCGGCGAAAGGGAGAGUAACAGGUGGUUUAUCUACCCUCGGGUUUGGGAUAGUGUCGGGAAACUGGCAGUAAUACCAAAUAACAUCUACGGAUCAAAGUUCCGGCGCCCGGGGAUGAGACUGCUCACUAUUAGCUUGUUGGCGGGGUAAUGGCCCACCAAGGCGACGAUGGUUAGCGGGCGUGAGAGCGUGGCCCGUCUCACUGGGACUGAGAUACUGCCCAGACACCUACGGGUGGCUGCAGUCGAGAAUCUUUGGCAAUGGGCGCAAGCCUGACCAAGCGAUGCCGCGUGCGGGAUUAAGGCCUUCGGGUUGUAAACCGCUGUCAGAGGGGAAGAAAUUUUGACUGAUCCUCAGAGGAAGGACGGGCUAAGUUCGUGCCAGCAGCCGCGGUAAAAC
Molecule: ribosomal RNA, 470 nt
Filed under: uncultured bacterium
Lineage: Bacteria
Description: bacterial SSU rRNA
Rfam family: Bacterial small subunit ribosomal RNA
Source: RNAcentral